This 1507-nucleotide ribosomal RNA is filed under the name human metagenome. Its description in RNAcentral is "bacterial LSU rRNA". It matches the Rfam family "Bacterial large subunit ribosomal RNA", at positions 466 to 2064 of the family's 2925-position model. The record is from RNAcentral.
CUAAAUACUACCCAGUGACCGAUAGCGUAUAGUACUGUGAAGGAAAGGUGAAAAGGACCCCGGGAGGGGAGUGAAAUAGAACCUGAAACCUUGUGCCUACAAGCACAUAGAGCACAUCAACGUGUGAUAUGGUACUUUUUGUAGAACGGUCCGGCGAGCGAUUGUAUGUUGCGAGCUUAAGGUCUUAAGGACUGGAGGCGUAGCGAGAGCGAGUCUGAACAGGGCGUUCAGUAACAUGCAAUGGGCCCGAAACCGGGUGACCUACCCAUGAUCAGGCUGAAGUGAAAGUAAAAUUUCAUGGAGGGCCGAACCGACCUCCGUUGAAAAGGCGGCGGAUGAAUUGUGGGUAGCGGAGAAAUUCCAAUCGAACUCGGAGAUAGCUGGUUCUCCCCGAAAUAGCUUUAGGGCUAGCCUCAUAUUAGAUACCCGGAGGUAAAGCACUGAAUGGCCUAGCGCCCGAGAGGGUAGCGAAGCCUAUCAAACUAAGAAUGCCGGAGUAUUGAUGUAUGGGAGUCAGACAGUGUGAGAUAAAUCUCAUUGUCAAAAGGGAAACAGCCCAGAUCUACAGCUAAGGUCCCAAAUUGUAUCUAAGUGGAAAACGAUGUGGAAAUACGCAGACAACCAGGAUGUUGGCUCAGAAGCAGCCACUCAUUUAAAGAGUGCGUAAUAGCUCACUGGUCGAGCGUCUCUGCGCGGAAAAUUUAACGGGGCUAAGAUACAAACCGAAGCUUAGGCUGCAUCGUAAGAUGCGGGGUAGGGGAGCGUUGUGUAAGCGGAGAAACAGUAGCGUAAGCGGCUGUGGAGUUUACAGAAGUGAGAAUGCCGGAAUGAGUAGCGCGAAUGUGGUGAGAAUCCACAUGGCCGGAAACCUCAGGUUUUUGGAGGAAGGUUCGUCCGCUCCAAGUUAGGCGGGAGCUAAGGUGAGGCCGAAAGGCGUAGCCGAUGCACAGACGGUAGAGAUUCCGUCCCCACCGAAAGAUUUAAGCACAGGGACACUUUUAGAAGGUCGGAGCCAGGUGUUGGUUCUGGUAGUGAUCGAGGGAAAUUUAGUACCGAAGUCCGGCUGGAUAAGAGGCGAGAAAAGCUGUGUGUAUAUCUAAGGUGCCCGUACCGCAAACCGACACAGGUAGGUAGGAAGAAGAUUCUAAGGCCAACGGGAGAAGGGUUGUUAAGGAACUCGGCAAGUUGACCCCGUAACUUCGGAAUAAGGGGUGCUCACGAGAGUGAGCCGCAGAGAAUAGGCCCAGGCAACUGUUUACCAAAAACACAGGUUUGUGCUAAAUCGAAAGAUGACGUAUACGAGCUGACGCCUGCCCGGUGCUGGAAGGUUAAAAGGAGAUGUGCAAGCAUUGAAUUGAAGCCCCAGUGAACGGCGGCCGUAACUAUAACGGUCCUAAGGUAGCGAAAUUCCUUGUCAGGUAAGUUCUGACCCGCAUGAAAGGCGUAAUGAUCUGGGCACUGUCUCAACAGCCCGCCCGGCGAAAUUGUAGUACCGGUGAAGAUGCCG